GACGAACGCUGGCGGCGUGCUUAACACAUGCAAGUCGAACGGAAAGGCCCUGCUUUUGUGGGGUGCUCGAGUGGCGAACGGGUGAGUAACACGUGAGUAACCUGCCCUUGACUUUGGGAUAACUUCAGGAAACUGGGGCUAAUACCGGAUAGGAGCUCCUGCUGCAUGGUGGGGGUUGGAAAGUUUCGGCGGUUGGGGAUGGACUCGCGGCUUAUCAGCUUGUUGGUGGGGUAGUGGCUUACCAAGGCUUUGACGGGUAGCCGGCCUGAGAGGGUGACCGGCCACAUUGGGACUGAGAUACGGCCCAGACUCCUACGGGAGGCAGCAGUGGGGAAUAUUGCACAAUGGGCGGAAGCCUGAUGAAGCAACGCCGCGUGCGGGAUGACGGCCUUCGGGUUGUAAACCGCUUUCGCCUGUGACGAAGCGUGAGUGACGGUAAUGGGUAAAGAAGCAACGGCUAACUACGUG
This 468-nucleotide ribosomal RNA is filed under the name uncultured bacterium. Its description in RNAcentral is "partial 16S ribosomal RNA". It matches the Rfam family "Bacterial small subunit ribosomal RNA", at positions 28 to 507 of the family's 1533-position model. The record is from RNAcentral.